UUUGUUGAGUUUAAAUUAGUAUCUGGUAAUGGAGAAUUGACAUAUUGAGGCACCUACUGUCAAUUAGAUAGAAAGACUAAUUUACAGCUAGCAAUUAGAUAAAAUGCUUUGUAUAUUAGUUGUAAUUGGUAGAAAAUUGCUCAGUUUCCAUACAUGUACAGUGAUGGCUGACAUUCGGUUGUGUAAUUUGCCUUAUUAGUCCUAUACAUACAAAGGAACCCUCACAAUAAGGAUUAUUGAGUCAAAAGCGGAAAUUGAAUACCUUUGUCAUGGUAUCAGAGCUUCUAGAAGUUUAGAUUAAUUUCCAAUCACCAUCUUCUGCGGUAACCGGAAACUUGUUUGAGAUCCUCACGUUCGGUCAGAAUUUGUUCGUGAAUUUCCAGGCCGAAGGAUUCCUGGUCGGCACUCUCUGUAGCGACUGACUCUUGCUUGGGUCAUCUCUAGUUGGUCGAACCUACCAGCGUCUUUAGCAGUGGCAAGUACGUGGCUUCUGGGUUUCGCAUCUGUCGACGGGUCUAGUUGAGGAAGGAUCUUCGAUCACUUGAAAGGAAUAACAGUAACCCCUAUGUGUUGGGCUACUUAAUCCAUUGUUUAAUUGGGCUGUUGAUUGGGCCAAUCCUAUAGAGUUUAUUUGGGCUCUAAGAUUGGAUUUUAACAAUUAAACUUGGUCUCGGUUUAUGAUUUUGGUGGGCUGAUUCUACUUUGGUUUUGCUGAAUUUAUUUUGGACUUGUUUCCGUUGGUACUUUGGUCUUGCUGAAUUUUAUAUUAGGGCUUUUUUCUAGUAUAAUUAAUUAUGUGCAUCAUGUCAACCAACAUGUCUGAUUCUUUGUGUGCGCUUCACAGGUAAAAAUUAUUUUGUGUGGGAAUUUCAAUUUCGAUUAUUUGUCAUGGGGAAAGAGUUAUGGGUCACAUUAAUGGAAGUGACCCAGCUCCUAUUGAGAAUAUCCAAUUGGGUCAAUGGAAAGUGAAAGAUGCUAGGGUUAUGACAUGGAUUUUAAGAUCCGUUGAUCAUAUGAUUGUCCUAAAUUUAAGUCCUUAUAAGACUAUUAAAGAGAUGUGGGAGUAUUUUUAAAAAAGGUUUACAAUCAAGAUCAUACAGCCAGACGAUUUCAAUUGGAGUAUGAAAUUGCAAAUUAUACUUAGGCCAAUCUCAACAUUCAGGAUUACUUCUCUGGGUUUCAAAGCUUAUGGGGUGAAUUUGUUGACAUUAUCUAUGCUAAAGUACCAACCGAAUCUCUUGCUGUUGUUCAGACUAUUCACGAACAAAGCAAGCGAGAUCAGUUUCUAAUGAAGUUACGUCCGAAAUAUGAGGCAAUUCGCUUAAAUCUAAUGAAUCGUGAUUCGUCCCCUUCUUUGGAUGUCUGUUUUGGGUAGUUGCUUCGUGAAGAGCAUCGUCUUACAACACAGGCCACUCUUCAACAUCAACACAUGACCUCAAAUGCUGUUACUUAUGCAGCUCAUGGGAAAAACAAAGGGAGGGAUAUGAGGAAGGUCCAAUGCUUCAGCUGCAAGGACUAUGGGCAUAUUGCUACUCACCGUGCCAAAAGUACUGCAAUUACGGCAAGAAGUCGGGAUACAUUAUCAAGGAUUGUCCUACUCGACCUCAAAAUCGUCAGGCCAAUGCAUAUCAGGCUACUGCCAGCCUAUCGGCUUCUGAGACAUCCUCUACCACUGCCUAAUUUGCUCUUACUCCUGAAAUAGUGCAACAAAUGGUUGCAUCAUCUUUUUCUACUUUGAAAAUGAAGGUAAAUAUAAUAUUUCGUCUCAAUCUUGGCUAGUUGAUUCAGGUGCCUCAAAUCAUAUGACCAGUUCCUAUGAUGGAUAUUCGCCCAUAUCAAGGCUCAUCUUAUAUUCAAACAACUAAUGGGAGUCAUUUAUCUAUUAAUGCUAUUGGUAACAUUAAUUCUGCUUUUCGAGACAUUUUUAUAUCUCCUGGUUUAUCUACAAAUCUUAUUUCAGUUGGUCAAUUAGUUGAUAAUAAUUAUGAUGUCCAUUUUUCUCGUGAUGGUGUUUUUGUACACGAUCAGGUGUCGGGGAAGAUACUAGCUGCUAAGGGGCAUAAAAUUGGAUGAUUGUUUCCAUUAUACUUUUCUAUUCAUAGUUGCUUAUCUUUGGCCUAUAUAAUCGUUAACAAUAAAAGUGAAGUUUGGCACAAACGUUUGGGCAAUCCAAACUUCACUAUCCUGUCUUAUUUGUUAAACUCUAGUUUGUUGGGUAAUAAAAACAAUUCUUCUCAUAAUUUGUGCUUUCAUUGUUCUACAUGCAAAUUGGGAAAGAGUAAGACUCUUCCUUUUCCUUCUCACAGUGGUCGUGCCAAAAAGAGCUUGGAAAUUGUGCAUAGUAAUGUUUGGAGCGUUUCGAUUGUCACCUCUCGUGCCCAGUAUAAGUAUUUCCUAACUUUUAUUGAUGAUUAUAGUUGAUACACAUGGAUCUAUUUUCUCCGUUUUAAAUCUGAAGUACUUUCAGUCUUCAAGACUUGUGUGGCAUUUUGAGAACCAAUUCUCUAUAUUAAAAUUUUACGAUUUGAUUCAGGUGGAGAAUGUCUCAUGAGUUUCAUGAUUUCUUAAAACAGAAAAGGAUUUUAUCUCAACGAUCAUUCUCUUAUACUCCUCAACAAAAUGAGGUGGCAGAACGAAAGCAUCGUCAUCUACUGGAUGUUGUUCGUACAUUUUUACUUGAUUCCCAUGUUCCUUCAAAAUUCUGGGUUGAAGCAGUGUCCACUAUAGUUUAUUUAAUCAAUAGAUUGCCUCCCAAAUUUUACUCUUUGACUCUCCAUAUUAUCGCCUUCAUAAUCAAAUUCCUGCUUACCAUGAAUUGCAUACUUUUGGAUGCAUUUGUUUUGUUCGUUUAUCUUCUCAUGAAUGAUGCAAGCUUUCUGCACAAUCUGGUAAGUGUGCUUUUAUGAACUACCGUGUUUCGCACGACAAAGGUUAUAUUGCUAUGAUCCAUGUUCUAAUAGAUUUUGUAUUUCUCGUAAUGUUGUUUUCUUUGAGCAACAACCUUUCUUUCAUACUCAUGCUCAACAUUUGCUUGAAAUUAGUAUUCUCCCAAGUUUUGACGAUUUGACUUCUUAUUUUGAAAGAUUUAAGCCCGUACUUGUGUAUAAGAGACGUCGACCAAAUAGGCCUCUUCCUGAAGUUGACCUCACAUCUGAUCUUGUCCAGCCCCUCUUUUCUGAGCCUAAUUUGGUAUCAGAUACUGAUGUACCUUCUGAUCCGGGUCCUUGACGAUCUACCCGUAUUUCUCGACCGCCUGAUAGAUAUGGUUCUUUUCAUUCAUUUCCCACUACGUUGACAUCUAUAUCUCCUAGUUAUUCAGAAGCAGCUAAACAUGAAUGUUGGUGGAAGGCUAUGGAUGAAGAACUUCGGGCACUUCAGGAUAAUCAUACUUGGAAUGUUGUUCCUUGUCCACCUAAUGUCAUGGCUAUUGGUUGUAAUUGGGUAUAUUUUAUUAAGCUUCGUUCUGAUGGAACUCUGGAUCGUUAUAAAGCUCUCCUAGUUGCUCUCGAAAAUAAGCAGGAAUAUGGGGGUAGAUUAUGAUGACACAUUCGCUACAGUAGCCAAGAUGACUACAGUGUGCACUGUUCUUUCUAUUGCCGCCUCUCAGGAGUGGUCUCUUCACCAAAUGAAUGUCGAAAAUGCUUUUCUUUUUGGUGAUAUCAAGGAAGACAUUUAUAUGACACCUCCUCUGGAUCUUUUUUCCUUUUCUUCACAUGUAAGUUGAAGAAGUCUCUUUAUAGGUUGAAACAAGCUCCUUGAGCAUGGUUUAAGAAGUUUCGAUCUACUUUGUUACAGCUUUCUUUUAUCCAGAGCUAGUAUAACUCCUCCCUAUUCUUUUGCAAGACAUUUACUGAUAUUGUUCUUUUACUUGUGUAUGUGAAUGAUAUUGUUAUCACUGGCACGGAUUCUGGGUUGAUCACUCAACUCCAGCAGCAUCUAUAAGCUUCAUUUCACAUGAAAAAUCUUGGUCCACUUACAUAUUUUUUGGGGUUGGAAGUACAUACCGAUUCCACAGGCUUAUUUUUGAACCAAUACAAAUAUAUCCAAGAGUUGAUCACUUUGGCUGGUCAUUAAGAUUAUUCUUCUAUCGAUACUCCUCUAAGAGUCAAUGUUAAAUAUCAUCGUGAUGAGGUCCAGCAAGUCAGUCAGUUUAUGCAAACUCCACAACAUCUUCAUCUUGGGGCCGUUCAUCGCAUCAUUCAGUAUCUCCGAGACAACACGAGUGCUAUUCAGAUUGCUGCAAAUCUAAUAUAUCAUGAGCGUACAAAGCAUAUCGAAGUGGAUUGUCACUUGAUUCGAGAGGCUUUUGACGCAAGUAUUAUUUCUCUUCCACAUAUUUCUACUGAUCUUCAAAUUGCCGACAUGAUGCUUUGUAUAUUAGUUGUAAUUGGUAGAAAAUUGCACAGUUUCCAUACAUGUACAGUGAUGGCUGACAUUCAGUCGUGUAAUUGCUUUAUUAUUCCUAUAUAUACAAAGGAACCUUCACAAUGAGGAUUAUCGAGUCAGAAGCAGAAAUUGAAUACCUUUGUCACCUACGAGAAUGACGUUAAUUCACUUUCUGUACCUUGUCAAGUAAAUUUAAAUAAUAUUACACGUGGAGUUGUUGGGUUUUGGGCUAAAAUGGAUGUAGUGGAGUCUUUUAUUUAUUGUUUGUUAAACUAUCAUAAUCAUUGGCGAAACAACUUCUCUUUUUGGAAAGUCUAGGCUCCAGGGGAUCCAAUUAAUGGAUUCGGUUUUCUUUUCUGUUAAUUCUUAUCAUUUAGGGUCUUAGAAAAUCAAUUCAGAAUCUCUUUGUUGGAGUAUGAGUACUAGGCGCUUAAUAACUUAAUAACUGAUAAAAUUGUUGAAGAUAUGGAAAAAUUGUAAAGAAUAAUUUCUAUUAUAUUUUCCCAAUUACGUGGAAUUUUACUUAAUAGUUGAA
Molecule: long non-coding RNA, 4921 nt
Organism: Olea europaea var. sylvestris
Lineage: Eukaryota; Viridiplantae; Streptophyta; Magnoliopsida; Lamiales; Oleaceae
Exons: 3
Source: RefSeq, a predicted model, not a curated record